This 1834-nucleotide long non-coding RNA is filed under the name Nicotiana benthamiana. RNAcentral's name for it is "long non-coding RNA (NBEN_LNC018505)". Lineage: Eukaryota; Viridiplantae; Streptophyta; Magnoliopsida; Solanales; Solanaceae. The record is from RNAcentral.
CGUACCUACUUGGAUUCCUUGCCUUUUACUUGUACGACUAAGGAUCUGCAUGACUGCUGCAACGGUUUGCUUCUUAUAUCUCGCAGUGACUACGAACCCACUCAGUAUUUAAUUGGUAAUCCAGCUACGAAGCAAACUAUUCCGAUACCUGUUAAUUCAAAGCAUCAAAAUUCCAACUUGGUGGACUGUUCGCUGGUUUUUGAUCCAGGCGAGUCGUUAGAAUACAAGAUUAUUCGGUUUGUUCACUCGGUUGGUAAAGUCACUAUUAGGUUAGUGGAUGUUUAUUCUUCUGAGACUGGAAACUGGAUCGAGUACAUACUUCCUCUUGCACCAGAGAUUUCUGGACUAGGGUGGCUUAAAAAUUCAGUCUAUCUAAAUGGAGUUCUGUACAAGAUAUCCCGUGAUGGACGCCUCAUUUGCAUAGACGUAAAAUCCAAUCUUGCUAAUUUGAAUGCUUGGUCUACCCUUGAAUUGCCAUUUCAGCCAAUCACAGAUGAGUAUGUAGGUUCUAUUGGAGCAUCAAGAGGCAAUCUUUAUUGCUUCAAUCGAGAUGCAUCUAACUUUCUUCUUUGGAAGCUGAAAAAUGGUGUUCAAUGGGUUCCGGAAUACAAUAUAAGCAUAUUUAGGCUGAUUCAUAGUUCUGUUGGCCGUUAUUAUUGUAAGGUUUUGGGAGAUAAGGUGUGGACUAACUUUCAGCCUUGUGUCUUUCUUCCUACUCUGGACGAAAUUCUCAUUGAAACUCCUUGGUUUCUCGCAACUUAUAGUCAUAAAAGAAACGAUUUUGAUUGGUAUGACAUAGAGAUGCGUGGCUGUAAGACAAGAAGAUUGGGGCAAUCUUUUGCUUACUCGCGAAGCCUUGUUGUCUUCAAUAGCAUCAUCCAUAGGCAUUACGAAUCAUCUGCCUCGUUCAGUAAGUACAAGCUUAUUUAUACUUGUAUCGUGCUAUUCAACUUGCAUAUUUUAUAAGAAUGCAAAAAAUUACUUGCUCCAUUCCAUUUUUUUCUGUUAUAUUUUAUAAGAAUGCAAAAAAUUACUUGUUCCAUUCUAUUUUUUUCUGUCUUAGUUUGACUGGCACGAAAUUUGAGUCUAGAACUUUUCUCUCUUUAACUAAAAUUGUAUAUAAUAUACCAAAAAUAACCGUUGAGUCUUGUGGGUUUUUAGUCAUGUCAUAGUUAUUCCUAUGAGGGAGUGUCAUUAAGGUUUAAUUGAGAAUGUUGGAACUAAAGGCUUACUGAAUAUAGAAAGUGGUUUUCUUUAUGAAACAGAGUAAAAAAGAAAUUGAGGCACAUAAAUUGAAAUAGAGGGAGUUUAAGUUAGUAAUAGUACCUUCUAUUAGUUCAAUCUUCUGCCACCAUUCCCUUCCGCUCGUUUUCCUUUUUUUUCUUGUUCUGUUGCAUAGACUUCAACUUGCAAUCUGACUAAACUUCCCCUUCGCUCGUUUUCUUUUUUUUUCUUGUUCUGUUGCAUAGACUUCAACUUGCAAUCUGACUAAAUAUUAUUUAUUAUUCUUAUUAUUGUUAAUUAUUAUUUCACACAUUGGUAAAUUUGUCAUUGUGCAUGUGUACACUAAUGCUGCUCGGUGGUAAUUGGUAAUCCAGCUACGAGGCAAACUAUUCCGAUACCUGUUAAUUCAAAGCAUCAAAAUUCCAACUUGGUAGACUGUUCGCUGGUUUUUGAUCCAGGCGAGUCGUUAGAAUACAAGAUUAUUCGGUUUGUUCACUCGGUUGGUAAAUUAGGUUAGUGGAUGUUUAUUCUUCUGAGACUGGAAACUGGAUCGAGUACAAACUUCCUCUUGCACCUGAGAUCUCUGGACUAGGGUGGCUUAAAAAUUCAG